This 31-nucleotide non-coding RNA is filed under the name Mus musculus (house mouse). Lineage: Eukaryota; Metazoa; Chordata; Mammalia; Rodentia; Muridae. The record is from RNAcentral.
UUCCAGUUAAUUUUCUGGUAAGAGGUCAGAC